AGAUGUGAGGGUGAUCUGGCUCUGACAUCUGUCACCCCACUGAUCUCCAUGGUUGAUUCGGCUGAUCUGGCUGGCUAGGCGGGUGUCCCCUUCCUCCCUCACUGCUCCAUGUGCGUCCCUCCUGAAGCUGCACAUUCAGUGGAAGAGGACGGCCUUUCCGGAACAGAGAUGGGCUGGUCUUCGGUUGAGGGUAUAUGAGUAGUUGUGCUCCCCUGCUGGAACCUCCAAACAAGCCCUCAAGAAGAAGGGACUGGGUCCAAAUGAAGUCAGGAGAUUGAGUACAGGGUGACCCAAGACAAGGGUCAGAUAAGCAAAGCUAC
Unclassified non-coding RNA from Erinaceus europaeus (western European hedgehog), 320 nucleotides. Its record names the gene 7SK. It matches the Rfam family "7SK RNA". From Rfam's summary of the family: 7SK was discovered as an abundant small nuclear RNA in the mid-70s but a possible function has only recently been suggested. Two independent studies have found that 7SK RNA binds the CDK9/cyclin T complex (known as elongation factor P-TEFb). NCBI's taxonomy places the organism in Eukaryota, Metazoa, Chordata, Mammalia, Eulipotyphla, Erinaceidae. The record is from Ensembl.